GCAUCCAUUGCUGAAUGGUUGAGGCGGCCACUUUUGAUUGGCUAAUUUGUAGGUUCAAUUCCUACUGGAUGCA
Molecule: transfer RNA, 73 nt
Filed under: Daucus carota subsp. sativus
Lineage: Eukaryota; Viridiplantae; Streptophyta; Magnoliopsida; Apiales; Apiaceae
Description: tRNA trnX-ttt
Rfam family: tRNA
About the family: Transfer RNA (tRNA) molecules are approximately 80 nucleotides in length.
Source: Rfam by way of RNAcentral